AGAUUCGUGAUGGACUUCUUCAGGCUACUGUUGGGCAUUAAAUCUUUGUUGCUCAUGAAUGUUGAUGGAUUUCAUAUCAAAGCAAGUUUUUGUCAAGUUAGUCUUUUCUUUCUUAAAAACAUGGAAAUAUGUGGUGAAGGGAUUUUGUUAGAGAUUGUGAAUCCUAUGACUAUCUAUGUUUAUAACCAGUUUGGUAAGGUUUUGAAUGUUUAAAGUAUUGUGUAAAAAGUAUUUUCAGGUUCUAUAAGAUUGUUCUACAGCAUUGUACAUCUU
RNAcentral lists this unclassified non-coding RNA (273 nucleotides) under Hevea brasiliensis (rubber tree). Lineage: Eukaryota; Viridiplantae; Streptophyta; Magnoliopsida; Malpighiales; Euphorbiaceae. The record is from RNAcentral.